UGGGGAAUAUUGCACAAUGGGCGCAAGCCUGAUGCAGCCAUGCCGCGUGUGUGAAGAAGGCCUUCGGGUUGUAAAGCACUUUCAGCGAGGAGGAAGGGUUCAGUGUUAAUAGCACUGUUCAUUGACGUUACUCGCAGAAGAAGCACCGGCUAACUCCGUGCCAGCAGCCGCGGUAAUACGGAGGGUGCAAGCGUUAAUCGGAAUUACUGGGCGUAAAGCGCACGCAGGCGGUUUGUUAAGUCAGAUGUGAAAUCCCCGCGCUUAACGUGGGAACUGCAUUUGAAACUGGCAAGCUAGAGUCUUGUAGAGGGGGGUAGAAUUCCAGGUGUAGCGGUGAAAUGCGUAGAGAUCUGGAGGAAUACCGGUGGCGAAGGCGGCCCCCUGGACAAAGACUGACGCUCAGUGCGAAAGCGUGGGGA
RNAcentral lists this ribosomal RNA (419 nucleotides) under uncultured bacterium. Its description in RNAcentral is "partial 16S ribosomal RNA". It matches the Rfam family "Bacterial small subunit ribosomal RNA", at positions 355 to 767 of the family's 1533-position model. The record is from RNAcentral.